AAAAUUUUAAGUUAAUUAAACUUUAAAUCUUCAAAAUUUAAUAUAUAAAAUAUAUUUAUAAAUUUUAG
This 68-nucleotide transfer RNA is filed under the name Psyttalia concolor. Its description in RNAcentral is "tRNA-Trp". Lineage: Eukaryota; Metazoa; Arthropoda; Insecta; Hymenoptera; Braconidae. The record is from RNAcentral.